UAGACCGCCUGGGGAGUACGGCCGCAAGGUUAAAACUCAAAUGAAUUGACGGGGGCCCGCACAAGCGGUGGAGCAUGUGGUUUAAUUCGAUGCAACGCGAAGAACCUUACCUGGUCUUGACAUCCACAGAACUUUCCAGAGAUGGACUGGUGCCUUCGGGAACUGUGAGACAGGUGCUGCAUGGCUGUCGUCAGCUCGUGUUGUGAAAUGUUGGGUUAAGUCCCGCAACGAGCGCAACCCUUAUCCUUUGUUGCCAGCGGU
RNAcentral lists this ribosomal RNA (261 nucleotides) under Salmonella enterica subsp. enterica serovar Weltevreden. RNAcentral's name for it is "partial 16S ribosomal RNA". It matches the Rfam family "Bacterial small subunit ribosomal RNA", at positions 865 to 1125 of the family's 1533-position model. RNAcentral also lists the same sequence under 1 other name. The record is from RNAcentral. Lineage: Bacteria; Pseudomonadati; Pseudomonadota; Gammaproteobacteria; Enterobacterales; Enterobacteriaceae.